GUCCAAAUCAAAUGUUUUCUUUUCCAUGAAGCCCUUUUAAUCCCCGUUAUGAUUUUUCUCCACAUUUUCAGCCCUGGGACGUUUAAAACGAAUGAACGGCUACCUAAUUCCAUUUUGCAGAAACCUCUGGACUGAUGGGGGAGUUGGGGAGGCGGGGGGGUGGGGAUGGGGGGGUGGUUGUUGGUGUUGUUUUGAUUUCAAACAGAGCAAGACUCCAUUUCCCAGAAUCCGCCUCUCCAGAGGAACAAUUCUCCAAGGUGGGGUGCUGCACCCCGCCCCCUCUACUUUCGGUCCCGCCUCGUCCACGCUUCUGAUGAAUUCUGGGAAUCGUAGUUCGAGGCUCUCCGUGAGCAACCUUUGUGACCAUUUGAUUAUGGUUUGAGCCGGACAUUUUAAUUUAAUUUUGGGGGGAGCAGAAAUCCCUGACAUUCCAGGAUGUGACUGUGGACUUCUCCCAGGAGGAAUGGGGGCUGCUGGAGCCAGCUCAGAAGGACAUGUACAGGGACAGGAUGCAGGAGAACUAUGAGAACUUUGUCUCCCUGGUCUCAUCAGAAAUGUAAUCUGGACAGAAGUCAAACAAAAGUUGGUCAAAAAUAUAGUCAGAAGUCAGUCCUUGUUGUACAACAUCAAUUUCCUAAAACCAACUUCAAACAGUUUUUAGAUGUAUGUGAAUAUAAUGGAACUGCUCUAUGUAACUUUAUAAUAAGGACAAGAAACCCUUCACUCACCAUUCAAACUGUAUUCAUAACUGUGGAAUAUAUAGUUAAGGAAAACACCUUAAACAUCAUGAAUCUGGCAAAGCUUUUAAUAUCAAUUCAUGCCAUCUAGUACAUCAAAGAAUUCAUACUGAAGAGAAGCCAUUUGGAUGUAAUGAAUAUGGAAAAAACUUAGGCAAUAAACAAAACCUAAUUGCACA
Molecule: long non-coding RNA, 916 nt
Filed under: Monodelphis domestica (gray short-tailed opossum)
Lineage: Eukaryota; Metazoa; Chordata; Mammalia; Didelphimorphia; Didelphidae
Description: lncRNA (ENSMODG00000042299.1)
Source: RNAcentral